Molecule: non-coding RNA, 729 nt
Organism: Myodes glareolus (Bank vole)
Lineage: Eukaryota; Metazoa; Chordata; Mammalia; Rodentia; Cricetidae
Source: RefSeq, a predicted model, not a curated record
UUCAGUGUCCUUGUCAGCUUCCUGGUUGGAGAGAAAGGAGGGAAAGCUUCAGAGAAUAGCCACAGCGCUCUGAACUCCCUCUUGUGGAGACACUCAUGUGAGGAGCUUUGUCUUUUAAGCAAUAUCAAACUUCACAUCCAAACAUUUUGCUAUUCAACUUUUGAAAUCCUGACUUCAUGGGAAUGAGGCAAGCACUAAGGAGUGUUACGGCACAAGAAGCAUUGGAAAUGUGAGACAGUCUGGCCGUGGGAGCUCAGUGCAGUUGUGUGACUUCAUCACCAGUAAGAGUUAACGUUGAAAAGAAAAUACUGCAAAUUCUACAUCAUCUAAUUCAGGAUGAAGAAACACCAUAAAGCUGCCUCCAGAGGCCCUCAUUUAUCAGUAGUUUCAAUCAUCAGAAGAAGAGGGCAGUGUCAGAGGAAGACAAGCAUUUUUCCUCAGAGUUCCCGUCCUAUCUUCAGUACUUGGAAUGCAGUCAAGGAGCCGCACUUUUCACAGCUUCUUGGCUUGGGGUCUUACCUAGAUCUACCACCACAUAGCAAGAUUAUGGAAACCUUUCCCACUGUAAAACCAGAGUACAGGACGGUGGCUGCACAGGCUGGCAUCCUGGAAUCAAUCUCUGGAACUCAUGCAGAAGUGAAAGCAGAGAACCUAUUCCACAGGGCUGGCCCUGGCCUAUGUGUCCCUCACCCACCCCAAGAGCAAUAAAUAAAAAUUUACAAAACAAAG